CCGCGUCGGUUCCAUUCGGCAGCUGGGACGUCGCUCGUCCUUCCUGGGUUGGUAGCCGGCCUCAUCUCGCCGGCAGCGGCUCACGGUGGCACUGUGAAGGCCGUUGGUUUUGUAAGCCGGAACUUUCUUCUCCGGCCACCGAUUCAAGGUAUCUUUGGGGGAUUUUGUAGCUCUUUGAUUAGUCUUUCAACCACCCAAAAGAGGUAGAACGAUUUGGAGUAUAGGGCAAAUCGGAGCUCUUGAGUUCUUGAGUUUAUAAUGAGUUUUCCGGCCAAAUCUUUGAGCUCUAGAGUUUGUGUUAGGCAUGAUUGUUCUUAUGCUUGAUGAGAGGAAGAGUUUGCUGUAUGCCUUGUUAAUUUUGGUUGAAGUUGAUUUAGUGGUGGUGGUUGACCGCCACUGCCGGCGGUUGACCGCCACAGCCGGUGACUGCUGCCGGUUUUGGUGGUGGUUUUGAGUAAUUUUGGAUGAGUUCUAGAAGGGAUAAAUGUUGUUGUAUUGUAUGGUGAUUUUUGGUGAAGAGUGUUUAGAAUUUGGAUAGUUUUGAUGGCUCCAUGGGUGAGAGAUGAGUGGUAUUGAAGUAUUGGAAAUUUUGGUGAGUGUUAGUAGGAAUUUAGUAAAGUUUAAGUCGAUUUUGGUGAAAGAGUAGAGGUGAGCCUCAUCCUUGGAAAUUUCCAUAUUUGUCCUUAAGCGGUAGAACGUUGAGGAGAAAUUGGAGAUGAUUAGUAAAAAUAGGGUUGGAGGUCUUCUUAAGUUGGAAUGAGUAUCGAGUAAGUGAGGACGACUUUAUAUUUGUUAAAUUUGAUAUUCUUGUAUUUUUGUCUCGGACCUUAAAUCUCGUUUUGUACAGGACGAGAGGAGACACCACGUGAGGAGGGCUCUGACCGACGUCAGGCAUAGCCGUCUAUAUUGUGAGUGGACACUUUGUUUUUAAUGGAAUAUGCAUGCUUGAUUAGAGAUUUGAAAUAUGUGGAUUAUUUGGCUUAAUUAUUACUUUGAGCAUUUUAACGUGUGGGACACGUUAUUAAAUUUAAUUUAUUUCUUUCUUAUGCUAUAUUUGUUGGAUUAUAUGAUAUCAAUGCUAGCAUGUCGUUCCACCUUUCGAGGUGAUGUGACUCCCACGUUUCAAGUGGGGUCACGCAAGCCCUUUCCACCCUAGUGGUGAUGUGAUGUUGCCGGCGGCAUCACGCAAGCCCUGUGCUCUAUCCGUCCACUCGACGUGAAGGUACAUGGAUUAUGGGAGUACUAUGUCUGAGAGGCAACCGAGUCUGGGAGACUCACUUAUAUGGCCAUAUAGGAUAUUUUAUUUGAGUUGUUAAUUUGACUAGCCAUUAUUUUGAAAGUUUCUUGAAUGAGAAAUUUAUUUAUUUUUUUUAUUGUAUUAUGACUAGCGGGGCUAGUGUGAAUUUUUAUUGAGUUUAUAAUAUUUGCAUGCAUGAAAAUUCUUGAAUUCUGUAUAAAUGGAAAAGCAUAUAAAAAUUUAAUUUAGUAUCUUUAUGCUCUUGGAUACUUAUUAAUUAGUUUAUUUUUCGUCCACUCACGCUAAUGUUUUUAAAUGCUUUUCCCUGGGCCCUUUGUUUUCAAAUGCCCAGAUUGCAGAGCUCCUGUUCGGUUUCACUAGGAGUUGAGGCUGUUCGGUUUCACUAGGAGUUGAGGCAUAGUUUUUCCGCUGCACCUUGCUGACCGUAGGUUACCUGUUAACCUAUGUGUAGUAUUAUAUUUCCUUCUGGUAGUGCUCUGAUAACCAUCGGGAUAUGUAAAAUAAGUUGGAGUUAUUUUUAAGGGUUAUGACCCAAGUAGGGAGUUUAACUUUGGUCGGUGUUUGUAUUUAAAUAUCGUAGUUGAAUAUU
RNAcentral lists this long non-coding RNA (1847 nucleotides) under Fragaria vesca (wild strawberry). RNAcentral's name for it is "long non-coding RNA (FVES_LNC000977)". Lineage: Eukaryota; Viridiplantae; Streptophyta; Magnoliopsida; Rosales; Rosaceae. The record is from RNAcentral.